GAAGGUGGCAAGCGUUGUUCGGAUUCACUGGGCGUACAGGGAGCGUAGGCGGUUGGGUAAGCCCUCCGUGAAAUCUCCGGGCCUAACCCGGGAAGGGCAGAGGGGACUGCUCAGCUAGAGGAUGGGAGAGGAGCGCGGAAUUCCCGGUGUAGCGGUGAAAUGCGUAGAGAUCGGGAGGAAGGCCGGUGGCGAAGGCGGCGCUCUGGAACAUUUCUGACGCUGAGGCUCGAAAGCGUGGGGAGCAAACAGGAUUAGAUACCCUGGUAGUCCACGCCUUAAACGAUGGAUACUAAGUGUCGGCGGGUAACCCGCCGGUGCCGCAGCUAACGCAGUAAGUAUCCCGCCUGGGAAGUACGGCCGCAAGGUUG
This 368-nucleotide ribosomal RNA is filed under the name uncultured organism. Its description in RNAcentral is "partial 16S ribosomal RNA". It matches the Rfam family "Bacterial small subunit ribosomal RNA", at positions 527 to 896 of the family's 1533-position model. The record is from RNAcentral.